Balaenoptera acutorostrata (minke whale) is the source of this 2432-nucleotide long non-coding RNA. RefSeq lists it as uncharacterized. NCBI's taxonomy places the organism in Eukaryota, Metazoa, Chordata, Mammalia, Artiodactyla, Balaenopteridae. The record is from RefSeq and is a predicted model, not a curated record. The transcript has 8 exons.
CUCACUAUAUGAGGACUUAAAUCUUUAGCAUGUACUUUUCAUUCAAUUAAUUAUUAAUAAACUAUAAGUGUUUACUAUCUGCCAGGCACAAAUGUGGGCAAUGAGGACACAGCCAUGACAAAGAGACAAAAAUCUCCACCCUCAUGGAACUUAGGGGGAACGGACCAUCAAUGAAUACAUAAAUAUAAGUCUGUGGAGCCUUAAGUGCUUUGGAGAAAAAUAAGUAGAGGAGAGAAAUAGGGAGUGUCAGGAUGGGGGCAAUUUUGAAGAGAGAUGCUGGAGAAAGCCUCCUUGGGCAGAGACCCCGACAAGUGAGGGAACACAAGUGAGGGGGAUACCUGGGGGAUAAUUCCAGAAAAAGCAGCAGGUGCAAAGGUCUGAGGAGGUGUGUCCUUGGUUAGUGUGGCCACAGUGGAGAAAGCAAGGGAAAGAGGGUGGGUGGGUGAGUGAGGCAGUCAGGGAAGCAGAUGCAUGCAGGUCACCGAAGGACUUUAGAUUUUGCUGAGAUGGGGAGUCACUGGAAAGACACAUCUGGAAAGAGAUGUGGGAUUUAAAAUUAUUUUCGAUGGAAUUCCCUGGUGGUCCAGUGGUUACGACUCCACUCUCACUGCCAAGGGCCUGGGUUCAAUCCUUUGUCAGGGAACUAAAGAUUCCACAAGCCGUGUGGCGCGGCUAAAAAAAAAAAAUUAUUUUCAAAUAACCUGACUCUAGAGACUAAAUGGAAAGGGGGGCCCAGGGAGAUGUAGGGGGUGGUUAGGCAGCUCCAGGAACCCUUUUUCUUCCCGCACCAGGGCAAGGGCAGGACGUGGUAGAUGAGUUGUCAGGCUCUGUGAAGGUAAGGGCACCAGGAAGUGCUGAUGGAUUGAAGGUGGGAUGUGAGGGGAGAAAGGGGUGUCAGGGGUGACUCCAGUAUUUCUAGCCUGAGUCACUGAAUGAACAAAGUUGCCACGAGCAGAGUACUAUGAGGAAAGCAGGUUGGAGGGAGGUGGUGGUGGUGGGGAGGGAGAAUUCCAGGAGCUGGGUUUCAGGCAUGUGAUGUUUCAGACUAUUUUUAUAACAUCCAAGGGGAGAUACUGUCAGGACAGACACAGUCCUUGCCUCUCUGGGAACCUAUAUCCUAGUGAGGGAGAAAUCCCAUCAACAACACAACUAAGAGACAACCUAACCUGUCAUAUAGUGCUAGGUGUCGUGACGGUAAUGUGAUGGGGAGUGGUGACUGUCAUAGUUGAUUGGGGGUGGCCUCAGUGGGCAGGUGACGGGAGAGCUGAGACCCAGGACAGGGACAGCAAAGCCAAGUUCCGGAGGAAGGAAUGAGCUUAGUGAGUUAGAGGAAUAGAAGGAAAGCAACUCCAGAAGGCUUACCCACAGCUGGGUCUUACUUUACAUGUGAUGGGAAGCUGUUGGGGGACUUUGAGGAUGUGGUCACCUGAUUUCCAUUUUUAAAAAAGGUAACUUUGGAGACUGGAUUAGCACGAGAGGGAGCAGGAAACCUGAUUGGCAGUCCAUUAACCACUGUCUAGCCAAACAGGACGCUGACUUGGAAGGCCAGUGGAGAUGGAGGAAAUCAGAGAGAUAUGGGAUCUGCUUUGGAGGUAGAGCCAGCAGGAGGAAAGAAGAAUCCAGGAUGCUGCUGAAGUCUUGGGGAGGUGCUCACGUGGAGUGUGAGGUCUCGCCUGACCCCAGGCUGGCAGGUGGCCUUUGUCUCUGCGAGUCAGAAGGGCAUCAAACCACGACCUGAGGUUUAACUGCACAGCCCUGCUCCUGGCGACGGAACAAGGCUGCUAUUACGAGGGAACAGAAUCAACAGGGAAGCGGCAAGCGGGAGGCAAGCUUUAUGCUCUGUGGUUUCGCCCCAGUAGGAGGACGUGAUGACACCUCCAGGACAAAAGUACAUGCCCAUUUCUAGCCACUGAAAAUUAAAUUAGUGAGUAUUAAUUACUUCACGGUCAUAAGGAAAAGGAUCCUGAGAUGCAUUGUUUCCCGUCUACUCUGAGAUGCUUCCCAGUAGGAGGGGCACAAUGAUAGGCCAGCCAUGGCAGACCUCAACCGAGUAAGUUAUGAAAAGGCAAGCUAGGAAACCACACAGGCACACAUUUCCCUUGGGCAACAUCAGAUGAGAAAGCGAUCGCUUUUCCAUUGCAGGCGAAACAGAGAAACAGGAAACCCAAAGGCAACGACUUGCUUGGAGGCCUCCAAGAUGAGAAAAUGGAAGAAGCAAGAAGAUAAGUGACUUACCCAAGCUUCCACAACUUCCCCCAAAUUUUAUAACCUUCAAGGCCUACCAACCUGGAACCAGCUCUGAUUAAGCAUCUAUUAUAGGAGCCAGGCAUAUCUAGAUGCUAGAAAUACAACAUUGAAUGGAAUAGACACUGGUGGUUUUAAAAUGUCUACAAGAAAAGAAUCUGAAAAAGAAUAUAUAUAUGUCUAACUGA